RNAcentral lists this ribosomal RNA (296 nucleotides) under uncultured bacterium. Its description in RNAcentral is "partial 16S ribosomal RNA". It matches the Rfam family "Bacterial small subunit ribosomal RNA", at positions 335 to 624 of the family's 1533-position model. The record is from RNAcentral.
UGUCCUACGGGGCGCAGCAGUAGGGAAUUUUAGUCGAUGGGCGCAAGCCUGAACGAGCAAUGCCGCGUGAACGAGGAAGGUCUUCGGAUCGUAAGGUUCUGUUGAAGGGGAAAAAGAGCGGAGAGAGGAAAUGGUCUCCGAUUGAUAUUACCCUUCGAGGAAGUCACGGCUAACUACGUGCCAGCAGCCGCGGUAAUACGUAGGUGGCGAGCGUUAUCCGGAAUGCUUGGGCGUAAAGGGUGCGUAGGCGGCCUGCGAAGUCUGGAGCGAAAGGUACGGGCUCAACCGGUACAGGC